GAAUAUUGGGCAAUGGACGAGAGUCUGACCCAGCCAUGCCGCGUGCAGGAUGACUGCCCUACGGGUUGUAAACUGCUUUUAUAUGGGAAGAAACCCCUGAUUCCUAUCAGGGCUGACGGUACCAUACGAAUAAGGAACGGCUAACCCCGUGCCAGCAGCCGCGGUAAUACGGAGGAUCCAAGCGUUGUCCGGAUUUAUUGGGUUUAAAGGGUGCGUAGGCGGGAUAAUAAGUCAGUGGUGAAAGCCUACAGCUUAACUGUAGAAUUGCCAUUGAAACUGUUAUUCUUGAGUUCGGUUGAGGUGGAUGGAAUAUAUCAUGUAGCGGUGAAAUGCUUAGAUAUGAUAUAGAACACCGAUUGCGAAGGCAGUCCACUAAGCCGUUACUGACGCUGAGGCACGAAAGCAUGGGUAUCGAACAGG
This 420-nucleotide ribosomal RNA is filed under the name uncultured bacterium. RNAcentral's name for it is "bacterial SSU rRNA". It matches the Rfam family "Bacterial small subunit ribosomal RNA", at positions 359 to 776 of the family's 1533-position model. The record is from RNAcentral.